GACGAACGCUGGCGGCGUGCUUAACACAUGCAAGUCGAACGGGAUUUAGUAGACAGAAGCCUCGGCUAAAGAUUACUAAUGAGAGUGGCGAACGGGUGAGUAACACGUGAGCAACCUGCCUAUGACAGUGGGAUAGCCUCGGGAAACCGGGAUUAAUACUGCAUAAAAUCGUAGAAACACAUGUUUUAACGGUCAAAGAUUUAUCGGUCAUAGAUGGGCUCGCGUCUGAUUAGCUAGUUGGUGAGAUAACAGCCCACCAAGGCGACGAUCAGUAGCCGGUCUGAGAGGAUGAACGGCCACAUUGGAACUGAGACACGGUCCAAACUCCUACGGGAGGCAGCAGUGGGGAAUAUUGCACAAUGGGGGAAACCCUGAUGCAGCGACGCCGCGUGAACGAAGAAGGUAUUCGUAUCGUAAAGUUCUGUCCUAUGGGAAGAUAAUGACAGUACCAUAGAAGAAAGCUCCGGCUAAAUACGUG
This 478-nucleotide ribosomal RNA is filed under the name uncultured bacterium. RNAcentral's name for it is "partial 16S ribosomal RNA". It matches the Rfam family "Bacterial small subunit ribosomal RNA", at positions 28 to 507 of the family's 1533-position model. The record is from RNAcentral.